UAAUACGAAGGGGGCUAGCGUUGUUCGGAAUGACUGGGCGUAAAGGGCGCGUAGGCGGCUGAUCAAGUCAGAGGUGAAAUCCCCGGGCUCAACCCGGGAAUUGCCUUUGAGACUGGUCGGCUUGAGAGCGGGAGAGGUGAGUGGAAUUCCCAGUGUAGAGGUGAAAUUCGUAGAUAUUGGGAAGAACACCAGUGGCGAAGGCGGCUCACUGGCCCGUUUCUGACGCUGAGGCGCGAAAGCGUGGGGAGCAAACAGG
Molecule: ribosomal RNA, 256 nt
Filed under: uncultured bacterium
Lineage: Bacteria
Description: partial 16S ribosomal RNA
Rfam family: Bacterial small subunit ribosomal RNA
Source: RNAcentral